RNAcentral lists this ribosomal RNA (441 nucleotides) under uncultured bacterium. RNAcentral describes it as "partial 16S ribosomal RNA". It matches the Rfam family "Bacterial small subunit ribosomal RNA", at positions 338 to 795 of the family's 1533-position model. The record is from RNAcentral.
CCUACGGGUGGCUGCAGUGGGGAAUAUUGCACAAUGGGGGAAACCCUGAUGCAGCGACGCCGCGUGAGUGAAGAAGUAUUUCGGUAUGUAAAGCUCUUUCAGCAGGGAAGAAGAAAGACGCUACCUGACUAAGCAGCCCCUGCUAACUACGUGCCAGCAGCCGCGGUACUUCGUAGGGGGCGAGCGUUAUCCGGAUUUACUGGGUUUAAAGGGAUCGUAAACGGCUGUGCAAGUCUUGAGUGAAAGCCCAGGGCUGAACCCUGGGACUGCUUUGGAAACUGUGGAGCUAGAGUGCGGGAGAGGUAAGUGGAAUUCGUAGUGUAGCGGUGAAAUGCGUAGAUAUUAGGAGGAACACCAGUGGCGAAGGCGGCUUACUGGACAGUAACUGACGUUGAGGCUCGAAAGCGUGGGGAGCAAACAGGAUUAGAUACCCGAGUAGUC